This 71-nucleotide transfer RNA is filed under the name Caudoviricetes sp. RNAcentral's name for it is "tRNA-Leu". It matches the Rfam family "tRNA". From Rfam's summary of the family: Transfer RNA (tRNA) molecules are approximately 80 nucleotides in length. Their secondary structure includes four short double-helical elements and three loops (D, anti-codon, and T loops). The record is from RNAcentral. Lineage: Duplodnaviria; Heunggongvirae; Uroviricota; Caudoviricetes.
GCACCGUAAGCGCAGACGGAGGAGCAGCCGCUUAAAGCGGACGGUCGCAGGUUCGAGCCCUGCACGGCGCA